AUACGUAGGGGGCGAGCGUUGUCCGGAAUGAUUGGGCGUAAAGGGCGCGUAGGCGGCCGCUUAAGUCUGGAGUGAAAGUCCUGUUUUCAAGAUGGGAAUUGCUUUGGAUACUGGGGGGCUUGAGUGCAGGAGAGGUUAUCGGAAUUCCCGGUGUAGCGGUGAAAUGCGGAGAGAUCGGGAGGAACACCAGUGGCGAAGGCGGGUAACUGGACUGCAACUGACGCUGAGGCGCGAAAGUGUGGGGAGCAAACAGGAUUAGAUACCCUGGUAGUCCACACUGUAAACGAUGAAUGCUAGGUGUAAGAGGUAUCGACCCCUUUUGUGCCGGAGUCAACACAAUAAGCAUUCCGCCUGGGGAGUACGGCCGCAAGGUUGAAACUCAAAUGAAUUGACGGGG
RNAcentral lists this ribosomal RNA (397 nucleotides) under uncultured bacterium. RNAcentral's name for it is "partial 16S ribosomal RNA". It matches the Rfam family "Bacterial small subunit ribosomal RNA", at positions 523 to 918 of the family's 1533-position model. The record is from RNAcentral.